UACGAAGGGGGCUAGCGUUGCUCGGAAUCACUGGGCGUAAAGCGCACGUAGGCGGAUUGCUAAGUCAGGGGUGAAAUCCUGGAGCUCAACUCCAGAACUGCCUUUGAUACUGGCAAUCUCGAGUCCGGGAGAGGUGAGUGGAACUGCGAGUGUAGAGGUGAAAUUCGUAGAUAUUCGCAAGAACACCAGUGGCGAAGGCGGCUCACUGGCCCGGUACUGACGCUGAGGUGCGAAAGCGUGGGGAGCAAACAGGG
Molecule: ribosomal RNA, 254 nt
Filed under: uncultured bacterium
Lineage: Bacteria
Description: partial 16S ribosomal RNA
Rfam family: Bacterial small subunit ribosomal RNA
Source: RNAcentral